AUGAAUUCUAAUGAUGGGUCGAGUUCUCGUUUUUGAAUACUGAACAGCGCGUAGUCAAACCGUGUUCGUGGCAUGUCUUUGUUUUCUUCUUCAGGAGGAAGAAACCCCGACCCAAGUUAGGUGUGGAGGCUUUUGGUUUGAUUUUGGAGCUUUGAAACAGUAAAAGAGCAUCUUCCAACUUGCAAAAGACGCCAUUUACAGUGAUUUAUUCCCACAAAUAAGCUUGAAUUUAUGGGACAGCCAUGUUUUUCCAGAUUUGGAUUGAAGCUUCAUGAGGAUGGAAAAGAGAAGUAAAAUGACAACAGAACAACGCGAAUAGAUAAGUAAAAUGACAACAGAACAACACGAAUAGCCAUUAAAAGACCAUAGAUGUCAGGAAAAAAAGAGGUACGCCUAUAACACCAUGCAGAUCUUAGCAACUGACCAUAUUUGCCAAGAGAGAAACGGUCGUCUUUGAUACAAGUUUUGCCAGUGGUUUGUAUACCACAGUGGAUUUGCUAUCAAAUUUCGAAACAUUAUCAGAUGAAUUACAAACUGCUGCUCCAGAGAUC
Molecule: long non-coding RNA, 551 nt
Organism: Juglans microcarpa x Juglans regia
Lineage: Eukaryota; Viridiplantae; Streptophyta; Magnoliopsida; Fagales; Juglandaceae
Exons: 2
Source: RefSeq, a predicted model, not a curated record